RNAcentral lists this ribosomal RNA (255 nucleotides) under uncultured bacterium. RNAcentral's name for it is "partial 16S ribosomal RNA". It matches the Rfam family "Bacterial small subunit ribosomal RNA", at positions 524 to 776 of the family's 1533-position model. The record is from RNAcentral.
UACGUAGGGGGGCAAGCGUUUGUCCGGAUUUACUGGGCGUAAAGAGCGUGUAGGCGGCCACGCAGGUCCGUUGUGAAAACUGGAGGCUCAACCUUCAGACGUCGACGGAAACCGUGUGGCUAGAGUCCGGAAGAGGAGAGUGGAAUUCCUGGUGUAGCGGUGAAAUGCGCAGAUAUCAGGAAGAACACCAAUGGCGAAGGCAGCUCUCUGGGACGGUACUGACGCUGAGACGCGAAAGCGUGGGGAGCGAACAGG